AAACAGCUUUAUAUUGCUGGUCUCUAAAACUCCAAGCAAACCCACUCUGCAGCCAGUGCUAAGGGGUACUGAAUUCCAUCAGGAUUUCAAUCCAGGGCAUUGCUGGGAAGCAUGAGCAUGAUGUGCUGUGACUCUGGCCCAGUGGUCUUUCAAGUAGUGCACAGUGCAGUCUGAGGGGCUGGAGAAGUUUGAGCAGCAUCAGAACUCAGAUAUCCUUUCAGUUGUUUUAGCACAUUUGCCAGACAUGGUUUCUCCCUGCACACAGGUCUGGAGCAUCAGCAUAAACAUGUCAAUAAAUCUCAUUCCUUGCA
Molecule: long non-coding RNA, 311 nt
Organism: Pseudopipra pipra
Lineage: Eukaryota; Metazoa; Chordata; Aves; Passeriformes; Pipridae
Exons: 2
Source: RefSeq, a predicted model, not a curated record